Long non-coding RNA from Pteropus alecto (black flying fox), 3088 nucleotides. RefSeq lists it as uncharacterized. The record is from RefSeq and is a predicted model, not a curated record. The transcript is spliced from 2 exons. Lineage: Eukaryota; Metazoa; Chordata; Mammalia; Chiroptera; Pteropodidae.
UUCAAGAGGAGAGAUCUGGGGACAUCUCUCACUCCACCAUGCUUCUGACGUCCACAAAAAAGACUUAACGUUGUUGAGGCUCCCUAUGUAUGUGCCUGGCACUGUUCCUGUUAGAUAUGUAUGGUUACAUCAAAGAGAAAGUCACUAUGCUAAUAUUUUAAUAGCUUGGUUUUCACAUUUGCUUAUUCAUCUUUUCAGAAGUAUUUUUUUCAUUAUAAUUUUACAGUUAUAUAUGUGAUAACCCAGCACAUUUAUUGAGUCCUCCAUGUCCCAGGUACUAUUUGAUGAUCCAUGGAUUACAGCAAUCACCCCAUGUCUCUGCCCUUGUAAUUUAGUAUUGUUUUCAUGGGACAGAGGCAUAUCAAAUACAUGAGUACAUGUAAGUACAUAUAGAAAAAUCAUGCAGAGGUAAGUGCUAAGAUGAAAAAUGAAACCCGGUCGGGAUAGCUAGUGACGGAUUUGAGAUAGGUGGUUGGAGGAGGCCUCUCCAGGAAGAUCUGCACUGGAGAGACGAGUGAGAUUUUAACUAGGAAAGCUUUCUAGACAGGGGGGUGCCUGGCAUUUGUUUAAGGAACCACGGAAAAGCCAACAGGGUUGGCUUUUUGAGUGAGGCAGGGCAGAAGUGGUUGGAGAAAAAGGGACUCUCAUUUGCCAGUCUUAGAUCAAAGGUCAUCUUCCUAGCCUCGAUCGAAAUUAGACCUACACUCUCAGCCACUUUACCCCGGUUUAUUUUCUUCACAACACUUAAACAUUAUCUGCAAUUAUCUUGUUUGAUUUCUUCAUUGACUAAGUCUCCUUACACAUAUGCACACACCAGCCGGGAUGCAAGCUCCAUGAGAUCAGGGCCUGCCUUCUUCUCCUGUACUCCCAGUAGCAAGAAUUGCAUCUGGCAUACAAUAAAAAUAUUGUUGAUCGAAUGAACAAAAAUAGAAUGCCAGGAGGGAACUAGUCUACUUCAGCAGUUCUCAAACUUUUUUGGGUCUCAGGACCCCUUUACUUUACAUCCCUGAAACUUAUUGAGGACCCUAAAUCUUUUUGUUUUUGUGGGUUAUGUCAGCCAAUAUUUACCUAUUAAAACUGAAAAUUUAAAAAAUCCAUUCGAAACCCUUAUGUCGACAUAAUUAAAACUAUAGCUAGGGGUACGCCUGUAUCUCAUGGACUGUGGAUCAUGCUUACCUAACCGUGAGUGUGUUGCCUGAGAGCAUGGUCAGUGGUAACUCUUAGAUUCACCCCAGAAUAGAGCACAGAUGAAGCAUGUGGAUUUUGCCGAAAACAAGGAUAUAUAAAAUGGGAGAAUAGUGCCUUGGAAAUGUUACUGGGAAAGAGAUAACACACGUAGGGAGUUGAAUUCAGUGCUUCACACAGACUGUAACACUGAGAAAAGACAAGUGGCAUGAUGUAAUUUGUUUAAAAAAUCUCUCUCCACUGGUACAGAAAAUGGAAGCGAGCAAGCGGAGGCAGGGCCAGAAAAGCAGUAAUCUAGGAUUAUUAAUCUAGUAAUCUGUAAAGAGAGGAUGGUGAUUUGUACUAGGGCAAUUGAGGUAGAUGGCAGAGGUGGUGUGAGAUAUGGUCAAGCUCCAUGAUUUGCUUAGCAAAAAAGCCAACUGUCUGGGAAUGGAAUGUGUAGUGGGAUUUGAUUGACUUAUCUGCAGACAGGGUUUAAGCCAACAUUACCCUAGGAUCAUGAUGAAAGUGAGGGGCCCAAAGCUAAGAGCAGCAGAGCUACAGUAAGAGUAUGGCCAGCAGCUGAGAAAGGGCCCCGGAAAAGUGGGCCAAUACUAACUGACAUACUCCUCUUCAACCCUAGACUAUGAAUUCUCUAAGGGCAGGGACUACAUUUUGUCUGCUUUGCUAUUCCAAGCACCUUCUACAAUGUCUGGUACAGGGUGUGCAUGGAUUAGUCUGCUGAAUCAGUGACUCCUUCACUCCAAAAUAGUAACACUUCCUGUUUCCUAUGACCAUGCAGGGUUUGAGGAUAUUUUUUGAUUUGCUCUGCUGUCAUCUUAAAACUUCCCUUUAACUGCCAAGAUUUCAUGAAGUUCAUUUGUAUCCCUCUCCUUUUUCAUCCAUACAUGCAACCACUGUCGACAUUUAACAGUGCUUUGGGUCCUAUAGAGAGAUACACAAAUAAAGGAGAGAUAUAAUAUGCACUUAUAAUAUGCAUCAUCCCUUUAUAGCAGGGACUUAUAUACUGCACUAUAUUCAGUGAUGGUUUCUUGAGCUCAAGGCCAUGUGUUGAGCUGCAGAUGGUGGGCUUUGCAGACCCAUUCCUCAGGGUUCUGACCUUUUCCUCUACUUUGUGGUUCACAGACAUUAGCAAUUUCUCUUUGAGACUUGGGUUCCUCAUCUCUACAGUGGUGUCACAGAGACUGUUAGUUGCUCAUCUCCUGUCUACACUCUUCUUCUAUCAGGGUGAUAAAAUCACCUAGCUGAUCUUCAUCUACAUCUCCCCACAUCCUGGCGCAUUUCAAAUAAAUUCCACUACGUCCAAGUCACUGAACUGAAAGCAUUACAGUGUAACAACUAAGAACGCUCUGGAGGCAGACUGCCUGGGUUUACAAUCUCUGCUGUCACACUUACUAGCGUGGUGACAUCAUUACCAUGUUAGUAACCCUCUCGUGCCUCACUUUCCUCAUCUGUUAUACGAAGAUAAUGGUACCUACUUCACAGACUGAUAAGCUCAUCGGUGAGUGUCCCAAAGUGAUCAUUAACACAGAAAAACCCCUACAUCACCAUGCCUCAACUUAGUUCACAUAACAAGGCCAAAUGAGACGAGUUGUAUUAUAUUCAUCACUGUUAUAUUCGUCACAGUGACAUAUAAGUAAACGUCAGAGCCACGUCAGAGCCACACCAGAGAGCACAAAAAGCUGGAUUUAUUGUUUCUGACAACUGCACGGUAAUUUUUAGUUUGUGUUCCUAGAAUCAGCAAUCUGAAAUGUAAUUUUUCUCCUUAAUUACAAACAUCGAUUCUAAAAAUUUAUUAGUUUAAAAAUGCAUCGUCCUAUGUAGAACAUCUUAAAAAUCUUUGCCAAGCAAGAUAUUCGCUUUAUCUUUUUAAAUCUCUGCAUAAAAAUGAAAAAAAAAAAAA